Molecule: long non-coding RNA, 1150 nt
Filed under: Anser brachyrhynchus (Pink-footed goose)
Lineage: Eukaryota; Metazoa; Chordata; Aves; Anseriformes; Anatidae
Description: lncRNA (ENSABRG00000020334.1)
Source: RNAcentral
CUCAAGGAUGAAGAAUCUGAGUUGGUGUCAAACAGAGGGCUGGUCCUUCAGCAUAUCACCGUCUUGCCUCCUGCUGAAGCUCAUGUCAAAAUGUUCUGCUUUGGAAGUUGCAUUAUGGUUCUGUUUGACAAGAAGUACACAGACAUGCCAGACGGCCACAAUGCCCGAAGAAUUGAAAGAAUGUCUUUCCCCAUGUCCUUGUGCUGCGACUGAGCCUGGCAAACAAAAAAAUAAAAUAUUUUUUUCUUAAAGCAGAAAAGAGGAGGAGGAAGAGCAGAUUAAAAAUAAAGCACUGUUCCUUGUGGUGACAGCAUCUGAGGGCAUGCAGGCCUUGGGAAACAUUGUGGAGGAAAGGAUGGAAGAUGGACUCUUUCCUCUCUCAAUUGGAAGUGAAAAUGCAUCUGGGUGCGUGAAAGAUGCGAAUAUCAGCUGUGUUGUGCCAGCAGCCACAUCAGGCAGAACUAUGUGCAGGCAUGGGAAUGCACAGGGAACCUCUUCUGCUGCUUCCACUGCUUCAGCCAAGUUUCCAGCCUCAGCCAGGACUUACUGCAAAGCAUCAAGCUCGGUUGCAUGAAGCAAAUGAGAAGAAAGAGCGAUUAAUAGCAUCACUCUCUGGGAAAAACUUCAUCUUCCUGUCCUCAUCUUGCCCCAUGGAGCAUGUCAUCAACUUGAGAAACUCCCAGCAGGAGAGAGAGCAAGUUCACAUCCAGCUUCCUGCAGUCCCAGGCUUGAAGAUAGCUCUGCUCAGAGAAUCUUUUCAGAAGGAGCAGAAUUAAAUUUCUCUUCCUGAGCUUUUCAGAGCAUGAAAGCUGUAUUCAAACAUACAAAGGGGUAGCAUUUUGUGAAAAUAUGUUCAUUUUAAUAUCAUCUUUAAAGAAAACAAAAACAAACACACCUUGGAUUGUUCCUUAUUUAAUUUUUAAAAAAUGAAGAGAAAGGAGCAAGACAGGAUAUACCAAGGACAUUUUCCUUAAGCAUGCCAUCUGUUUUCUGAAAUUUGAAAGCUGGAAAAGAAACAUUGCCUGUAAUCUUGAAUCUUAUUUGCUGGUUGUUUUUUUUUUUUUUUUUUUUUUUUUUUUUUUUUUUUUUUUGUGUUUGUUUGUUUCCUUGUUUGUGCUUUUACAUGGUGGCCUCAUGUGUGUAAUGAAUG